RNAcentral lists this ribosomal RNA (667 nucleotides) under Aliivibrio sp. R8-61. Its description in RNAcentral is "partial 16S ribosomal RNA". It matches the Rfam family "Bacterial small subunit ribosomal RNA", at positions 608 to 1275 of the family's 1533-position model. Lineage: Bacteria; Pseudomonadati; Pseudomonadota; Gammaproteobacteria; Vibrionales; Vibrionaceae. The record is from RNAcentral.
CUCAACCUCGGAACCGCAUUUGAAACUGGUGAACUAGAGUGCUGUAGAGGGGGGUAGAAUUUCAGGUGUAGCGGUGAAAUGCGUAGAGAUCUGAAGGAAUACCAGUGGCGAAGGCGGCCCCCUGGACAGACACUGACACUCAGAUGCGAAAGCGUGGGGAGCAAACAGGAUUAGAUACCCUGGUAGUCCACGCCGUAAACGAUGUCUACUUGGAGGUUGUGGCCUUGAGCCGUGGCUUUCGGAGCUAACGCGUUAAGUAGACCGCCUGGGGAGUACGGUCGCAAGAUUAAAACUCAAAUGAAUUGACGGGGGCCCGCACAAGCGGUGGAGCAUGUGGUUUAAUUCGAUGCAACGCGAAGAACCUUACCUACUCUUGACAUCUACAGAAUUCGCUAGAGAUAGCUUAGUGCCUUCGGGAACUGUAAGACAGGUGCUGCAUGGCUGUCGUCAGCUCGUGUUGUGAAAUGUUGGGUUAAGUCCCGCAACGAGCGCAACCCUUAUCCUUGUUUGNCAGCACGUAAUGGUGGGAACUCCNNGGAGACUGCCGGUGAUAAACCGGAGNAANGUGGGGACGACGUCAAGUCAUCNUGGNNNUUACNAGUAGGGCUACNCNCGUGCUACNAUGGNGCAUACNGAGGGNUGNAGCUAGCGAUAGUGAGCGAAUCCC